RNAcentral lists this ribosomal RNA (756 nucleotides) under Triticum aestivum (bread wheat). RNAcentral describes it as "partial small subunit ribosomal RNA". Lineage: Eukaryota; Viridiplantae; Streptophyta; Magnoliopsida; Poales; Poaceae. The record is from RNAcentral.
AUGGAGGCGACUGCAGCCACGGUGUGGCCGUCGACUUCCUCCUCCGUCCUCACCCCUCGCACCCGCCACCAUGCCACUCCCAGCUCCCGCCCCCUCCGCUCCGGCUUCCUCGGCCGCACCCUCACCCUCGCCGCUGCCACCCACCGCCCCUCCUCCGCCUCCGCCGCCGUCUCCAUCUCCGUGCGCGCGGCCUGGGACGGCCCCCUCUCCUUGGCGCGCCUCAUCAUGCAGGGCCGCAACGUCAAGCUCAAGGAGCACAUCGAGGACAAGGUGGGUCGUGCGGUGCACAACCAGGCGCACCUGGUGCGGGAGGUGGACGUGCGCCUCUCCGCCCGCGGCGGCGACCUCAGCAAGGGCCCCAAGCUCUCCCGCUGCGAGGUCACGCUCUUCACGCGCCGCCGUGACGUCGUGCGCGCCGAGGAGGAGGAGGACUCCUCCUACGCCUCCAUUGACGCCGCCGCCGCCGUCGUCAAGCGCAAGCUCCGCAAGAUUAAGGAGAAGGAGACCGACGUGCGAUACCUCAAGGGCGUUGUGCGCACAAAGGUGUUUGAGAUGGCGCCGCUGACGGUGGACGAGGCGCUGGAGCAGCUCGAGAACGUCGACCACGACUUCUAUGCCUUCAGGAACGAGCAGACAGGGGAGGUGAACAUCGUGUACAAGAGGAAGGAGGAAGGGUUCGGGCUCAUCAUCCCCAAGCAGGAUGGCCACGUCGACAAGGCCACCGUCAAUGCUAAGGAGCACCCCGUCGCCGGCUGA